Non-coding RNA from Anas platyrhynchos (mallard), 45 nucleotides. Lineage: Eukaryota; Metazoa; Chordata; Aves; Anseriformes; Anatidae. The record is from Rfam.
UAAAAGGCUCUUUUCAGAGCCACCCACAAUAUCAUAGAAGAGCUC